RNAcentral lists this long non-coding RNA (246 nucleotides) under Elaeis guineensis (African oil palm). RNAcentral's name for it is "long non-coding RNA (EGUI_LNC067968)". Lineage: Eukaryota; Viridiplantae; Streptophyta; Magnoliopsida; Arecales; Arecaceae. The record is from RNAcentral.
CCUCACAGGUGUCUCUACAAUGGGCUCUGGGUUUGAUCUAAGCAAAUCCAGUUUUGUACUUUUACUUGUCUGUGUCGAUUCUUCUACUAAACAAAUUUCAUCAAGUUCAAUCUUAGUGGCACUAGUUCCUUCUCCAAGAAACUCUUUUUCUAAAAAAAAUACCUUAUUGCUGACGAACACCUUUUAUUCUUCAGUAAGGUAGAAGUAAUAUCCCCUAAUUUUUUUUGGAUACCCAACAAAAGAGUA